Molecule: ribosomal RNA, 2902 nt
Filed under: Klebsiella pneumoniae
Lineage: Bacteria; Pseudomonadati; Pseudomonadota; Gammaproteobacteria; Enterobacterales; Enterobacteriaceae
Also listed under: 2 other names
Description: 23S ribosomal RNA
Rfam family: Bacterial large subunit ribosomal RNA
Source: RNAcentral
GGUUAAGCGACUAAGCGUACACGGUGGAUGCCCUGGCAGUCAGAGGCGAUGAAGGACGUGCUAAUCUGCGAAAAGCGUCGGUAAGGUGAUAUGAACCGUUAUAACCGGCGAUGUCCGAAUGGGGAAACCCAGUGUGAUUCGUCACACUAUCGUUAACUGAAUACAUAGGUUAACGAGGCGAACCGGGGGAACUGAAACAUCUAAGUACCCCGAGGAAAAGAAAUCAACCGAGAUUCCCCCAGUAGCGGCGAGCGAACGGGGAGCAGCCCAGAGUCUGAAUCAGCUUGUGUGUUAGUGGAACGGUCUGGAAAGUCCGACGGUACAGGGUGAUAGUCCCGUACACCAAAAUGCACAGGCUGUGAACUCGAAGAGUAGGGCGGGACACGUGGUAUCCUGUCUGAAUAUGGGGGGACCAUCCUCCAAGGCUAAAUACUCCUGACUGACCGAUAGUGAACCAGUACCGUGAGGGAAAGGCGAAAAGAACCCCGGCGAGGGGAGUGAAAAAGAACCUGAAACCGUGUACGUACAAGCAGUGGGAGCACCUUCGGGUGUGACUGCGUACCUUUUGUAUAAUGGGUCAGCGACUUAUAUUCUGUAGCAAGGUUAACCGUAUAGGGGAGCCGCAGGGAAACCGAGUCUUAACUGGGCGUUAAGUUGCAGGGUAUAGACCCGAAACCCGGUGAUCUAGCCAUGGGCAGGUUGAAGGUUGGGUAACACUAACUGGAGGACCGAACCGACUAAUGUUGAAAAAUUAGCGGAUGACUUGUGGCUGGGGGUGAAAGGCCAAUCAAACCGGGAGAUAGCUGGUUCUCCCCGAAAGCUAUUUAGGUAGCGCCUCGUGAACUCAUCUUCGGGGGUAGAGCACUGUUUCGGCUAGGGGGUCAUCCCGACUUACCAACCCGAUGCAAACUACGAAUACCGAAGAAUGUUAUCACGGGAGACACACGGCGGGUGCUAACGUCCGUCGUGAAGAGGGAAACAACCCAGACCGCCAGCUAAGGUCCCAAAGUCAUGGUUAAGUGGGAAACGAUGUGGGAAGGCACAGACAGCCAGGAUGUUGGCUUAGAAGCAGCCAUCAUUUAAAGAAAGCGUAAUAGCUCACUGGUCGAGUCGGCCUGCGCGGAAGAUGUAACGGGGCUAAACCAUGCACCGAAGCUGCGGCAGCGACACUAUGUGUUGUUGGGUAGGGGAGCGUUCUGUAAGCCUGCGAAGGUGACCUGUGAGGGUUGCUGGAGGUAUCAGAAGUGCGAAUGCUGACAUAAGUAACGAUAAAGCGGGUGAAAAGCCCGCUCGCCGGAAGACCAAGGGUUCCUGUCCAACGUUAAUCGGGGCAGGGUGAGUCGACCCCUAAGGCGAGGCCGAAAGGCGUAGUCGAUGGGAAACAGGUUAAUAUUCCUGUACUUGGUGUUACUGCGAAGGGGGGACGGAGAAGGCUAUGUUAGCCGGGCGACGGUUGUCCCGGUUUAAGCAUGUAGGCUGGUUAUCCAGGCAAAUCCGGAUAAUCAAGGCUGAGGUGUGAUGACGAGGCACUACGGUGCUGAAGUAACAAAUGCCCUGCUUCCAGGAAAAGCCUCUAAGCAUCAGGUAACAUCAAAUCGUACCCCAAACCGACACAGGUGGUCAGGUAGAGAAUACCAAGGCGCUUGAGAGAACUCGGGUGAAGGAACUAGGCAAAAUGGUGCCGUAACUUCGGGAGAAGGCACGCUGGUGUGUAGGUGAAGUCCCUGCGGAUGGAGCUGAGACCAGUCGAAGAUACCAGCUGGCUGCAACUGUUUAUUAAAAACACAGCACUGUGCAAACACGAAAGUGGACGUAUACGGUGUGACGCCUGCCCGGUGCCGGAAGGUUAAUUGAUGGGGUUAUCCGUAAGGAGAAGCUCUUGAUCGAAGCCCCGGUAAACGGCGGCCGUAACUAUAACGGUCCUAAGGUAGCGAAAUUCCUUGUCGGGUAAGUUCCGACCUGCACGAAUGGCGUAAUGAUGGCCAGGCUGUCUCCACCCGAGACUCAGUGAAAUUGAACUCGCUGUGAAGAUGCAGUGUACCCGCGGCAAGACGGAAAGACCCCGUGAACCUUUACUAUAGCUUGACACUGAACAUUGAGCCUUGAUGUGUAGGAUAGGUGGGAGGCUUUGAAGCGUGGACGCCAGUCUGCGUGGAGCCAACCUUGAAAUACCACCCUUUAAUGUUUGAUGUUCUAACGUUGGCCCCUGACCGGGGUUGCGGACAGUGUCUGGUGGGUAGUUUGACUGGGGCGGUCUCCUCCCAAAGCGUAACGGAGGAGCACGAAGGUUAGCUAAUCCUGGUCGGACAUCAGGAGGUUAGUGCAAUGGCAUAAGCUAGCUUGACUGCGAGCGUGACGGCGCGAGCAGGUGCGAAAGCAGGUCAUAGUGAUCCGGUGGUUCUGAAUGGAAGGGCCAUCGCUCAACGGAUAAAAGGUACUCCGGGGAUAACAGGCUGAUACCGCCCAAGAGUUCAUAUCGACGGCGGUGUUUGGCACCUCGAUGUCGGCUCAUCACAUCCUGGGGCUGAAGUAGGUCCCAAGGGUAUGGCUGUUCGCCAUUUAAAGUGGUACGCGAGCUGGGUUUAGAACGUCGUGAGACAGUUCGGUCCCUAUCUGCCGUGGGCGCUGGAGAAUUGAGGGGGGCUGCUCCUAGUACGAGAGGACCGGAGUGGACGCAUCACUGGUGUUCGGGUUGUCAUGCCAAUGGCACUGCCCGGUAGCUAAAUGCGGAAGAGAUAAGUGCUGAAAGCAUCUAAGCACGAAACUUGCCCCGAGAUGAGUUCUCCCUGAGACUUUAAGUCUCCUGAAGGAACGUUGAAGACGACGACGUUGAUAGGCCGGGUGUGUAAGCGCAGCGAUGCGUUGAGCUAACCGGUACUAAUGAACCGUGAGGCUUAACCUU